This 440-nucleotide ribosomal RNA is filed under the name uncultured bacterium. Its description in RNAcentral is "partial 16S ribosomal RNA". It matches the Rfam family "Bacterial small subunit ribosomal RNA", at positions 338 to 795 of the family's 1533-position model. The record is from RNAcentral.
CCUACGGGUGGCAGCAGUGGGGAAUAUUGCACAAUGGGGGAAACCCUGAUGCAGCAACGCCGCGUGAGUGAUGACGGCCUUCGGGUUGUAAAGCUCUGUCUUCAGGGACGAUAAUGACGGUACCUGAGGAGGAAGCCACGGCUAACUACGUGCAAGCAGCCGCGGUAAUACGUAGGUGGCGAGCGUUGUCCGGAUUUACUGGGCGUAAAGGGAGCGUAGGCGGACUUUUAAGUGAGAUGUGAAAUACUCGGGCUCAACUUGAGUGCUGCAUUUCAAACUGGAAGUCUAGAGUGCAGGAGAGGAGAAUGGAAUUCCUAGUGUAGCGGUGAAAUGCGUAGAUAUCUGGAGGAACAUCAGUGGCGAAGGCGACUAUCUGGCACAUAACUGACGCUGAGGAGCGAAAGCGUGGGUAGCAAACAGGAUUAGAUACCCGUGUAGUC